UGAGGAAUAUUGGUCAAUGGGCGAGAGCCUGAACCAGCCAAGUAGCGUGCAGGAUGACGGCCCUAUGGGUUGUAAACUGCUUUUAUAUGGGAAUAAAGUGAGGGACGUGUCCCUUAUUGCAUGUACCAUACGAAUAAGGACCGGCUAAUUCCGUGCCAGCAGCCGCGGUAAUACGGAAGGUCCAGGCGUUAUCCGGAUUUAUUGGGCGUAAAGCGAGCGCAGGCGGUUAGAAAAGUCUGAAGUGAAAGGCAGUGGCUCAACCAUUGUAGGCUUUGGAAACUGUUUAACUUGAGUGCAGAAGGGGAGAGUGGAAUUCCAUGUGUAGCGGUGAAAUGCGUAGAUAUAUGGAGGAACACCGGUGGCGAAAGCGGAUCUCUGGUCUGUAACUGACGCUGAGGCUCGAAAGCGUGGGGAGCGAACAGG
This 423-nucleotide ribosomal RNA is filed under the name Verrucomicrobiota bacterium. Its description in RNAcentral is "Verrucomicrobia bacterium partial 16S ribosomal RNA". It matches the Rfam family "Bacterial small subunit ribosomal RNA", at positions 355 to 776 of the family's 1533-position model. The record is from RNAcentral. Lineage: Bacteria; Pseudomonadati; Verrucomicrobiota.